GACGAACGCUGGCGGCGUGCCUAAUACAUGCAAGUCGAGCGGACAGAAGGGAGCUUGCUCCCGGAAGUCAGCGGCGGACGGGUGAGUAACACGUGGGCAACCUGCCUGUAAGACUGGGAUAACUUCGGGAAACCGGAGCUAAUACCGGAUAGGUUCUUCCUCCGCAUGGGGGAAGAUGGAAAGACGGUUUCGGCUGUCACUUACAGAUGGGCCCGCGGCGCAUUAGCUAGUUGGUGGGGUAAUGGCCCACCAAGGCGACGAUGCGUAGCCGACCUGAGAGGGUGACCGGCCACGCUGGGACUGAGACACGGCCCAGACUCCUACGGGAGGCAGCAGUAGGGAAUCUUCCGCAAUGGACGAAAGUCUGACGGAGCAACGCCGCGUGAGCGAAGAAGGCCUUCGGGUCGUAAAGCUCUGUUGUUAGGGAAGAACAAGUGCCAGAGUAACUGCUGGCACCUUGACGGUACCUGACCAGAAAGCCACGGCUAACUACGUGCCAGCCGCCGCGGUAA
This 512-nucleotide ribosomal RNA is filed under the name uncultured bacterium. RNAcentral describes it as "partial 16S ribosomal RNA". It matches the Rfam family "Bacterial small subunit ribosomal RNA", at positions 28 to 523 of the family's 1533-position model. The record is from RNAcentral.